This 393-nucleotide ribosomal RNA is filed under the name uncultured bacterium. Its description in RNAcentral is "partial 16S ribosomal RNA". It matches the Rfam family "Bacterial small subunit ribosomal RNA", at positions 523 to 918 of the family's 1533-position model. The record is from RNAcentral.
AUACGGAGGAUCCGAGCGUUAUCCGGAUUUAUUGGGUUUAAAGGGAGCGUAGGUGGAUUGUUAAGUCAGUUGUGAAAGUUUGCGGCUCAACCGUAAAAUUGCAGUUGAAACUGGCAGUCUUGAGUACAGUAGAGGUGGGCGGAAUUCGUGGUGGAGCGGUGAAAUGCUUAGAUAUCACGAAGAACUCCGAUUGCGAAGGCAGCUCACUAGACUGUUACUGACACUGAUGCUCGAAAGUGUGGGUAUCAAACAGGAUUAGAUACCCUGGUAGUCCACACAGUAAACGAUGAAUACUCGCUGUUUGCGAUAUACAGUAAGCGGCCAAGCGAAAGCAUUAAGUAUUCCACCUGGGGAGUACGCCGGCAACGGUGAAACUCAAAUGAAUUGACGGGG